AGUGGAUGGGGAGCAACCUAGUUGUGCGUGUGUAAAGGUAGUGCCAAGAAAAGCGGUGAUCAUGAUGAAAAUCAAUUCCCGGUACCCGAAACCGACACAGGUGGGCAAGUAGAGAAUACUAAGGGGCGCGAGGUAACUCUCUCCAAGGAACUCGGCAAAAUGACCCCGUAACUUAGGGAGAAGGGGUGCCACCGAGAGGUGGUCGCAGUGAAGAGGCCCAGGCGACUGUUUAGCAAAAACAUAGGUCUCUGCAAACUCGAAAGAGGAGGUAUAGGGGCUGACGCCUGCCCAGUGCCGGAAGGUUAAAGAAGUUGGUCAGUCUUAGGAUAAAGCUAGCGACUGAAGCCCCGGUGAACGGCGGCCGUAACUAUAACGGUCCUAAGGUAGCGAAAUUCCUUGUCGGGUAAGUUCCGACCCGCACGAAAGGCGUAACGAUCUGGGCGCUGUCUCGGAGAGAGGCUCGGCGAAAUAGGAUUGUCUGUGAAGAUACGGACUACCUGCAUUUGGACAGAAAGACCCUAUGAAGCUUUACUAUAGCUUGGAAUUGUGUUCGGGCUUCCUGUGCGCAGGAUAGGUGGGAGGCGUAGAAGGUAUUCUUGUGGGGAUACUGGAGCCAACGGUGAGAUACCACUCUCAGGAGGCUAGAAUUCUAACUUAAUUAAGGACAGUUUCAGGUGGGUAGUUUGACUGGGGCGGUCGCCUCCAAAAAGGUAACGGAGGCGUACGAAGGUUCCCUCAGACUGGUUGGAAAUCAGUCGCAGAGUGCAAAGGCAGAAGGGAGCUUGACUGCGAGAAGUACAGUUCGAGCAGGGUGGAAACACGGUCUUAGUGAUCCGACGGUGCUGUGUGGAAGGGCCGUCGCUCAACGGAUAAAAGUUACUCUAGGAUAACAGGCUGAUCUCCCCCAAGAGUUCACAUCGACGGGGAGGUUUGGCACCUCGAUGUCGGCUCAUCGCAACCUGGGGCGGAAGUACGUCCCAAGGGUUGGGCUGUUCGCCCAUUAAAGCGGUACGUGAGCUGGGUUCAGAACGUCGUGAGACAGUUCGGUCCAUAUCCGAUGUAGGCGUGAGAAUAUUGAGAGGAGCCUUCCUUAGUACGAGAGGACCGGGAAGGACGCACCGCUGGUGUACCUGUUAUGAUGCCAAUUGUAAACGCAGGGUAGCCAAGUGCGGAGAGGAUAACCGCUGAAAGCAUCUAAGUGGGAAGCCCACCUCAAGAUGAGUAUUCUGGUGUAAGGUCACGGGAAGACGACCCGUAAAUAGGCACGAGGUGGAAGUGCAGAGAUGUAUGAAGCCGAAGUGUACUAAUAGACCGUCGGCUUGAC
RNAcentral lists this ribosomal RNA (1324 nucleotides) under metagenome. RNAcentral's name for it is "bacterial LSU rRNA". It matches the Rfam family "Bacterial large subunit ribosomal RNA", at positions 1561 to 2925 of the family's 2925-position model. The record is from RNAcentral.